GGCAGCAGUGGGGAAUCUUCGGCAAUGGGCGAAAGCCUGACCGAGCAACGCCGCGUGAAUGAUGAAGGCCUUCGGGUUGUAAAAUUCUGUUAUAAGGGAAGAACGACUUUAGUAGGAAAUGGCUAAAGUGUGACGGUACCUUAUGGGAAAGCCACGGCUAACUACGUGCCAGCAGCCGCGGUAAUACGUAGGUGGCAAGCGUUAUCCGGAAUUAUUGGGCGUAAAGAGCGCGCAGGUGGUUGAUUAAGUCUGAUGUGAAAGCCCACGGCUUAACCGUGGAGGGUCAUUGGAAACUGGUCGACUUGAGUGCAGAAGAGGGAAGUGGAAUUCCAUGUGUAGCGGUGAAAUGCGUAGAGAUAUGGAGGAACACCAGUGGCGAAGGCGGCUUCCUGGUCUGUAACUGACACUGAGGCGCGAAAGCGUGGGGAGCAAACAGGAUUAGAUACCCUGGUAGUCCACGCCGUAAACGAUGAGUGCUAAGUGU
This 484-nucleotide ribosomal RNA is filed under the name uncultured Bacillota bacterium. RNAcentral's name for it is "bacterial SSU rRNA". It matches the Rfam family "Bacterial small subunit ribosomal RNA", at positions 347 to 823 of the family's 1533-position model. The record is from RNAcentral. Lineage: Bacteria; Bacillati; Bacillota.